This 459-nucleotide ribosomal RNA is filed under the name Triticum aestivum (bread wheat). RNAcentral's name for it is "partial small subunit ribosomal RNA". The record is from RNAcentral. Lineage: Eukaryota; Viridiplantae; Streptophyta; Magnoliopsida; Poales; Poaceae.
AUGAUCCGGGUGAGAAGCAUCAACAAAACCAGCCGGUUGGGAACAAUAAACAGCCUUGAGAUCACCAUGAUGAAAUGCAUUUUUGACAUCCAGUUGAGGUAUUGGCCGCGAAUGAGAGGUUGCAAGACUGAGCACCACACGGACAGUGGCCGGUUUCACGACCGGAAUGAAAGUCUCGUCGUAAUCCACACCCUCUUGUUGAGUGAAACCCCGGACAACCCACCGAGCUUUGUAGCGAGCCAAAGAGCCAUCCGUGUGAAACUUGUGGCGAAAGAUCCACUUCCCGUAACAAUGUUGACACUUGCAAGCUUAGGCACCAAAGACCAAGUAGAGUUAUUGAUUAAAGCACGAUACUCCUCUUGCAUAGCAUGGCGCCAAUUAGGGUCCUUAAGGGCUGAUUUGUACGUUGGAGGGAUAGGGGAGAGGGAUGUGGAUGUGGUAUCAGCAAGAAAAAGGUGA